AGACGACCAGGUCGUUUAAGAGACUCCAGCUAAUGGCACUGGGCAUGCGGCGUGCUGAGAACUUCUUUCUGAAGACGGAUUCUGGUGGCGAACAAAACAAUAACAGCUUGAGAGGCAGCAGCGAGAGACGGAGAGAUGGAGAGAGCGAGAGAGGCAUCAGAUGCCCAGUGAGAGCCUGGUACUUUAGGGAAGCCAGUUCUCCCUGCACAGCUCUGCUGCACUUCUAGCCUUCCCAGAAAGAGAGAGAGAGAGAAGAAACAUCGCUUCAGGUUAUUCAUGGAUUGACUCUUCAAAUCCCAACAUAUGCUCCUCUGUUUCCCUUCCCAAGCACCGGGAGAAAUGGACCAUUUCCUCUCUGCAGCCUCCUCUCUACCACCCUGUCCGCUGCUCGCGAUGUAAAUCAGAGAGAUGCGAGCCAAUGCAACCCAAGCGCAUGUGGGGUGUGUGUGGGCUGCCUGAGUGAAGUUAAAGACCCCAUCCAGCAGCCUGUCAGUCCAUCGUGUGUGUGUGUGCAUGUGUGUGCAUGAUAUUCUUUAAAUAACAGUUUCAACUAGAUCUGCUUCUCUUGAAAGAAACAUCGUUUGUGUAAGUUUAGUCUAUAGGUUUUGAUUCUGCAUAAAUGAUAUUUUGAUAAGUGCACAAAUGACUUCUGCAUUCAUAAUGCAGCAUAAAAUAGUACAGUACAUUGUCAUAUUUGUAAUCU
This is a long non-coding RNA of Cyprinus carpio carpio, 703 nucleotides long. The record is from Ensembl. NCBI's taxonomy places the organism in Eukaryota, Metazoa, Chordata, Actinopteri, Cypriniformes, Cyprinidae.